Molecule: ribosomal RNA, 465 nt
Filed under: uncultured Klebsiella sp.
Lineage: Bacteria; Pseudomonadati; Pseudomonadota; Gammaproteobacteria; Enterobacterales; Enterobacteriaceae
Description: bacterial SSU rRNA
Rfam family: Bacterial small subunit ribosomal RNA
Source: RNAcentral
CCUACGGGCGGCUGCAGUGGGGAAUAUUGCACAAUGGGCGCAAGCCUGAUGCAGCCAUGCCGCGUGUGUGAAGAAGGCCUUCGGGUUGUAAAGCACUUUCAGCGGGGAGGAAGGCGGUGAGGUUAAUAACCUCAUCGAUUGACGUUACCCGCAGAAGAAGCACCGGCUAACUCCGUGCCAGCAGCCGCGGUAAUACGGAGGGUGCAAGCGUUAAUCGGAAUUACUGGGCGUAAAGCGCACGCAGGCGGUCUGUCAAGUCGGAUGUGAAAUCCCCGGGCUCAACCUGGGAACUGCAUUCGAAACUGGCAGGCUAGAGUCGUGUAGAGGGGGGUAGAAUUCCAGGCGUAGCGGUGAAAUGCGUAGAGAUCUGGAGGAAUACCGGUGGCGAAGGCGGCCCCCUGGACAAAGACUGACGCUCAGGUGCGAAAGCGUGGGGAGCAAACAGGAUUAGAUACCCGUGUAGUC